GAGAACAAGGCCCAGGGGGCCCAACUCAUACACACCCAGAGAUGACACCUGAAUCCUACACACCACAAGGCUUCAGGACCAGUUUUCAAGUGAGAAGAGUGUCGCGUCCCCAGUUCCUCAGGAGCUGGAAGUGACAGGGACACCAAAGAGGGCAGCCACGUGGAGCCGCUCUCACUCACAGAGGUGGAGCCAGACCCCUGCUCCAACCCCCACUCAGAGCUGGGACACUGAGCCUUUGGUGCCCAAGCCCAUAGAUACACAGUGACCCCACAUCCUACCACGAAUCCUCUACAUUCACUGAGGUCCUGGAUGGCAAGUGACCAGCACAAAGCUUAGCACACAGCAAGUGCUCGGCUAAAGUCACUCCCUCGCCACCUUUCUGCCUGGGACCCCCUGCUCCCUGGCCUGGUGGCUGCUGCACUCCCCUGCUGUCCAGGGCUGCAAAGCCUCAGCGUCCUGGCUGUGCACUUUCUACACGUGUGACCUUCAACAAGGUACUUAGCCUCUCCGUGCCUCUGUCUCCUCAUCUAUAAAACAGGCGUAAUCCGGACGGCUGUGCCUGACCUGGACCGCGAGAGCCAGGAGCGCUACGAGGUGGUGAUCCAGGCCACAGACAUGGCGGGUCAGCUGGGUGGCCUCUCAGGCUCCACUACUGUCACCAUCGUAGUCACCGACGUCAAUGACAACCCGCCCCGUUUCCCGCAGAAGAUGUACCAGUUCAGCAUCCAGGAGUCAGCCCCCAUUGGAACGGCCGUGGGACGUGUGAAGGCUGAGGACUCAGACGUGGGAGAGAACACAGACAUGACUUACCACCUUAAGGAUGAGAGCGGCAGCGGCGGCGAUGUGUUCAAGGUCACCACAGACAGCGACACUCAGGAGGCCAUCAUCGUAGUGCAGAAGCGCCUGGACUUCGAAUCCCAGCCCGUGCACACCGUGAUCCUGGAGGCCCUCAACAAGUUCGUGGACCCCCGCUUCGCCGACCUGGGCACGUUCCGCGACCAGGCGAUCGUGCGCGUGGCCGUGACCGACGUGGACGAGCCCCCCGAGUUCCGGCCGCCCUCCGGCCUCCUGGAGGUGCAGGAGGACGCGCAGGUGGGCUCCCUGGUCGGCGUGGUGACGGCGCGGGACCCCGACGCCGCCAACCGGCCCGUCCGGUGAGACCCCCGCCCGGGGCCGACGCCUGCUGCCUGCUAUCCCGCCAUCGCCCCCGCGGACAGACUGCGGGCAGAGGGGAGGAGGGCUGGGGCGGGCAGGGCCGAAGGAGGGGGCUGCGUGGGGGAGGGAGGCAAGGAGAGAGGCGCACAGGGGUGGAGAGAAACAGUCACGGAGCCAAAGGGCCAAGGAAGCAGAUGUGAGAACAGUCAAUGAGACAGGCAGGGGAGCCAGGCCAAUGAGGGAGAGAACCAGGAGGGACAGACACAGAGGCGGGCACUGCACUGGCGGGGUCUCCGCGCUGCUGGCUGCAGCCACACUGGCUCCCUGAUCUCUCGACUGGGCCAUCCCUGUGCCCAGGACUCCCCCAGUCUUCUCCCUGCACCCCCCUUCCCUCUCAUCAUCUCCCUUGGUGUUCCGCUAGACACCUCAAACUUAAGUUCAGAACAGGGUUCCUGGUCUCUCCACCAAAAGAAAAAAAAACACCA
This 1640-nucleotide small RNA is filed under the name Pongo abelii (Sumatran orangutan). RNAcentral's name for it is "processed transcript". Lineage: Eukaryota; Metazoa; Chordata; Mammalia; Primates; Hominidae. The record is from RNAcentral.